This 642-nucleotide ribosomal RNA is filed under the name uncultured marine eukaryote. RNAcentral describes it as "SSU rRNA". It matches the Rfam family "Eukaryotic small subunit ribosomal RNA", at positions 618 to 1259 of the family's 1831-position model. The record is from RNAcentral.
GUUAAAAAGCUCGUAGUUGGAUUUCUGGCGUGGGGUGCUUGACCCGCCGCGGUUACGCGUGUGAGUGUCGGUGUGCCUCGGCCAUCCUUCUAGAAACUGGCUCUGCCCUUCAUUGGGUUGGGGUCAGGAUCUGGAUCUUUUACUUUGAAAAAAUUAGAGUGUUUAAAGCAAGCUUUGCGUGAAUACAUUAGCAUGGAGUAAUAACUUAGGACUUCGGUUCUAUUUUGUUGGUUUCUAGGGCUGAAGUAAUGAUUGAUAGGGAUAGUUGGGGGUGCUAGUAUUCAGCGGCCAGAGGUGAAAUUCUUGGAUUCGCUGAAGACUAACUUAUGCGAAAGCAUUCACCAAGGAUGUCUUCUUUAAUCAAGAACGAAAGUUGGGGGAUCGAAGACGAUCAGAUACCGUCGUAGUCUCAACCAUAAACUAUGCCGACUAAGGAUGAGUGAACGUUGCUUUUUCGACUUCAUUCGCACUUUAUGAGAAAUCAAAGUUUUUGGGUUCCGGGGGGAGUAUGGUCGCAAGGCUGAAACUUAAAGGAAUUGACGGAAGGGCACCACCAGGAGUGGAGCCUGCGGCUUAAUUUGACUCAACACGGGAAAACUUACCAGGUCCAGACAUAAUGAGGAUUGACAGAUUGAAGAUCUU